This 226-nucleotide ribosomal RNA is filed under the name uncultured bacterium. Its description in RNAcentral is "partial 16S ribosomal RNA". It matches the Rfam family "Bacterial small subunit ribosomal RNA", at positions 538 to 763 of the family's 1533-position model. The record is from RNAcentral.
GCAUUAAUCGGAUUUAUUGGGCGUAAAGGGCGCGUAGGCGGAAAUGCCAGUCAGAUGUGAAAGCCCGGGGCUCAACCCCGGAACAGCAUUUGAAACUACAUUUCUAGAGGGUAGACGGAGAAAACGGAAUUCCACAAGUAGCGGUGAAAUGCGUAGAUAUGUGGAAGAACACCAGUGGCGAAGGCGGUUUUCUAGUUUAUACCUGACGCUGAGGCGCGAAAGCAAG